CAGCCGCCACGGUAAUACGUAGGUGGCAAGCGUUGUCCGGAAUUAUUGGGCGUAGAGGGCUCGCAGGCGGUUUCUUAAGUCUGAUGUGAAAGCCCCCGGCUCAACCGGGGAGGGUCAUUGGAAACUGGGAAACUUGAGUGCAGAAGAGGAGAGUGGAAUUCCACAUGUAGCGGUGAAAUGCGUAGAGAUGUGGAGGAACACCAGUGGCGAAGGCGACUCUCUGGUCUGUAACUGACGCUGAGGAGCGAAAGCGUGGGGAGCGAACAGGAUUAGAUACCCCAGUAGUCCCUGUCUCUUAUAC
RNAcentral lists this ribosomal RNA (301 nucleotides) under uncultured bacterium. RNAcentral's name for it is "partial 16S ribosomal RNA". It matches the Rfam family "Bacterial small subunit ribosomal RNA", at positions 509 to 807 of the family's 1533-position model. The record is from RNAcentral.